GACGAACGCUGGCGGCGUGCUUAACACAUGCAAGUCGAGCGGAAAGGCCCUUUCGGGGGCACUCGAGCGGCGAACGGGUGAGUAACACGUGAGUAAUCUGCCUCUGGCUUCGGGAUAGCCACCGGAAACGGUGAUUAAUACCGGAUACGACACAUCACUGCAUGGUGCGUGUGUGGAAAGUUUUUUCGGCCAGGGAUGUGCCCGCGGCCUAUCAGCUUGUUGGUGGGGUAAUGGCCUACCAAGGCUUCGACGGGUAGCCGGCCUGAGAGGGUGACCGGCCACGCUGGGACUGAGACACGGCCCAGACUCCUACGGGAGGCAGCGGUGGGGAAUAUUGGACAAUGGGCGGAAGCCUGAUCCAGCAACGCCGCGUGAGGGAUGACGGCCUUCGGGUUGUAAACCUCUUUCAGCACAGACGAAGCGCAAGUGACGGUAUGUGCAGAAGAAGGACCGGCCAACUACGUGCCAGCCGCCGCGGUAA
This 481-nucleotide ribosomal RNA is filed under the name uncultured bacterium. RNAcentral's name for it is "partial 16S ribosomal RNA". It matches the Rfam family "Bacterial small subunit ribosomal RNA", at positions 28 to 523 of the family's 1533-position model. The record is from RNAcentral.